Molecule: ribosomal RNA, 468 nt
Filed under: uncultured bacterium
Lineage: Bacteria
Description: partial 16S ribosomal RNA
Rfam family: Bacterial small subunit ribosomal RNA
Source: RNAcentral
GACGAACGCUGGCGGCGUGCUUAACACAUGCAAGUCGAACGGAAAGGCCCUGCUUUUGUGGGGUGCUCGAGUGGCGAACGGGUGAGUAACACGUGAGUAACCUGCCCUUGACUUUGGGAUAACUUCAGGAAACUGGGGCUAAUACCGGAUAGGAGCUCCUGCUUCAUGGUGGGGGUUGGAAAGUUUCGGCGGUUGGGGAUGGACUCGCGGCUUAUCAGCUUGUUGGUGGGGUAGUGGCUUACCAAGGCUUUGGCGGGUAGCCGGCCUGAGAGGGUGACCGGCCACAGUGGGACUGAGGUACGGCCCAGACUGCUACGGGAGGCAGCAGUGGAGAAUAUUGCACAAUGGGCGGAGGCCUGAUACAGCAACGCCGCGUGGGGGAUGACGGCCUUCGGGUUGUAAAACGCUUUCGCCUGUGACGAAGCGUGAGUGACGGUAAUGGGUAAAGAAGCACCGGCUAACUACGUG